This 460-nucleotide ribosomal RNA is filed under the name uncultured bacterium. Its description in RNAcentral is "partial 16S ribosomal RNA". It matches the Rfam family "Bacterial small subunit ribosomal RNA", at positions 338 to 795 of the family's 1533-position model. The record is from RNAcentral.
CCUACGAGUGGCUGCAGUGAGGAAUAUUGGUCAAUGGUCGCGAGCCUGAACCAGCCAAGUAGCGUGAAGGAUGACUGCCCUACGGGUUGUAAACUUCUUUUAUAAAGGAAUAAAGUGAGGCACGUGUGCCUUUUUGUAUGUACUUUAUGAAUAAGGAUCGGCUAACUCCGUUCCAGCAGCCGCGGUAAUACGGAGGAUCCGAGCGUUAUCCUGAUUUAUUGGGUUUAAAGGGAGCGUAGAUGGGUUGUUAAGUCAGUUGUGAAAGUUUGCGGCUCAACCGUAAAAUUGCAAUUGAUACUGGCAGUCUUGAGUACAGUUGAGGUAGGCGGAAUUCGUGGUGGAGCGGUGAAAUGCUUAGAUAUCACGAAGAACUCCGAUUGCGAAGGCAGCUUACUAAACUGCCACUGACAUUGAUGCUCGAAAGUGUGGGUAUCAAACAGGAUUAGAUACCCCUGUAGUC